Molecule: long non-coding RNA, 394 nt
Organism: Cercocebus atys (sooty mangabey)
Lineage: Eukaryota; Metazoa; Chordata; Mammalia; Primates; Cercopithecidae
Exons: 3
Source: RefSeq, a predicted model, not a curated record
CGGUUCCAGGCAUCUGUGUGCUAGGUCCCAUACUCAUCAACAGCGUACCCAAAAUGUGUAAGCUUUGGUCUUCAAGUGCUGGCAGUUUAACAUUUCAUUGAUGAGGUGCAGCUGACAGCCAGCUUGCAACCACAAGUAUGGCCACCAUGAAGUCAAAGGAGAACUGAGAGAAGAACCAAGAAACAGACCAGGAACCCUGACCGAACUGCUCUGAAAAGUCGCUGCUUCUGGACUCCAGUUCCAAUGGAAGACUCUGAGGAGGACUUAGACAAGGCAAACCCACCAGAUGAAGGAAGGCUGAAUCCCAGAGUUUCACUGCUUGGAGAAAAACAGCUCAAGAGAGCUGCUUGACCAAGAACACCUGCAUUGAACCUCGUAUGAGAAAGAAAUAAAA